GUCCAAAGAGAAGAACCUGCAUAAAGACUUUAUGAAAAGAGCAAGGACUUCCAGGACUUGACAUGCCAGGACUGAUGAGGAAACUGAGAGUCAAAGAUAUUAAGAUCUUCCAAAGGCUCACAGCUAUUAAGGGCUGAAGAUGCUCCUGAACAAAGGAAACAGGAAGUUGGUACCAUCUUGUCUCUGAAGACUGCUCAACAUAGCUGACUAGAGUUGGGUAAAUUAUCUAGCAGACUUUGC
RNAcentral lists this long non-coding RNA (240 nucleotides) under Monodelphis domestica (gray short-tailed opossum). RNAcentral describes it as "lncRNA (ENSMODG00000049173.1)". The record is from RNAcentral. Lineage: Eukaryota; Metazoa; Chordata; Mammalia; Didelphimorphia; Didelphidae.